RNAcentral lists this ribosomal RNA (324 nucleotides) under uncultured bacterium. RNAcentral's name for it is "bacterial SSU rRNA". It matches the Rfam family "Bacterial small subunit ribosomal RNA", at positions 28 to 334 of the family's 1533-position model. The record is from RNAcentral.
GACGAACGCUGGCGGCGUGUUUAACCCAUGCAAGUUGAACGAGAAGAUUGAGACGGAACCUUCGGGUGAAGAUUCAGUUAGAAAGUAGCGAACGGGUGAGUAACGCGUGAAUAACCAACCCUCCACAGGGGGACAACAUCUGGAAACGGAUGCUAAUACCGCAUAAGACCACAGCAGCACAUGCUGCAGGGGUAAAAACUUUUUGUGGUGGAGGACGGAUUCGCGUUCCAUUAGCUAGUAGGUAGGGUAACGGCCUACCUAGGCAACGAUGGAUAGCCGAGCUGAGAGGCUGAUCGGCCACACUGGAACUGAGAUACGGUCCAG